GGUGAAAUCUCAUUUUAUCAUUAAAGAUAUUAAUAAAAAUAAUUUGUUAUUAUAAUUUCUUAUUGUUGUCACUAAAUAUGAGGCUUUGGUGACUAUACUUAUAUUUUGUUACUAAAAGUUUAUCAAUAAAAGUCUAAAUUUUUAUAGUAACAGUCAUGAUUUAAUUUUUGGCAUCGAAAUAGUCACAUUAAUGCUACAGCCCAUGGU
Molecule: long non-coding RNA, 207 nt
Filed under: Elaeis guineensis (African oil palm)
Lineage: Eukaryota; Viridiplantae; Streptophyta; Magnoliopsida; Arecales; Arecaceae
Description: long non-coding RNA (EGUI_LNC028774)
Source: RNAcentral